Molecule: ribosomal RNA, 253 nt
Filed under: uncultured bacterium
Lineage: Bacteria
Description: partial 16S ribosomal RNA
Rfam family: Bacterial small subunit ribosomal RNA
Source: RNAcentral
UACGUAGGUGGCAAGCGUUGUCCGGAAUUAUUGGGCGUAAAGCGCGCGCAGGCGGUCCUUUAAGUCUGAUGUGAAAGCCCACGGCUCAACCGUGGAGGGUCAUUGGAAACUGAGGGACUUGAGUACAGAAGAGGAAAGCGGAAUUCCACGUGUAGCGGUGAAAUGCGUAGAGAUGUGGAGGAACACCAGUGGCGAAGGCGGCUUUCUGGUCUGUAACUGACGCUGAGGCGCGAAAGCGUGGGGAGCAAACAGG